This 537-nucleotide ribosomal RNA is filed under the name Physalaemus cuvieri (barker frog). RNAcentral's name for it is "partial large subunit ribosomal RNA". It matches the Rfam family "Bacterial large subunit ribosomal RNA", at positions 1931 to 2620 of the family's 2925-position model. The record is from RNAcentral. Lineage: Eukaryota; Metazoa; Chordata; Amphibia; Anura; Leptodactylidae.
CCGCGGUAUCCUAACCGUGCGAAGGUAGCGUAAUCACUUGUUCUUUAAAUGAGGACUAGUAUGAAUGGCAUCACGAAGGUUAUACUGUCUCCCCUUUUUAAUCAGUGAAACUAAUCUUCCCGUGAAGAAGCGGGAAUAAAAUUAUAAGACGAGAAGACCCUAUGGAGCUUUAGACUACGCAACAAUUGCUAUUCACUUUUUACCCCAUGGAGCCCCAACCAUAUUUUCUCAUAUUGAUUGCUAGUCUUGGGUUGGGGUGACCGCGGAGUAAAAUAUAACCUCCACGAUGAAAGAAACUUAAUUUCUUAACCCAGAGUUACAACUCUAAGUACCAAAAAUUUGACAUUAAUUGAUCCAAUUUAUUGAUCAACGAACCAAGUUACCCUAGGGAUAACAGCGCAAUCUACUUCAAGAGUCCCUAUCGACAAGUAGGUUUACGACCUCGAUGUUGGAUCAGGGUAUCCUAGUGGUGCAGCCGCUACUAAAGGUUCGUUUGUUCAACGAUUAAAACCCUACGUGAUCUGAGUUCAGACCGGA